CCUCCUUCUUCUACUCCUCUAACAGACAACACUGCCUCUCCUCUUCCUCCUUCUCCUUCUCCCCCUCCUCCUCCUUGUCUACCAGACAUCGCUGGCCCCUCCUCCUCUUCUUUCUUCUCCUUCUCUACCAGACCUUGAGGGUCCACAUAGUCCUCCUCCUCUACCAGGUGUUGCUGGCUUUCCUCCCCCCUCUUCCUCCCCAACCAGACAUCACUGCCUCUCUUCCUCCUCCUCCUUCUCAUCUACCAGACAUCACUGGCCCUCCUCCUCCUCCCUCCUCCUCCUCUACCAGAUAUUGCUGGUCCUCCUCCUCCUCAUCUACCAUACAUUGCUGGACCUCCUCCUCCUAUACCAUAUAUCUCUGUCCCUCCUCCUCAUCCUCCUCCUUGUCCUCAACCACCAGACAUCACUGACCCUCCUCCUCCUCCUGCACCAGAUAUUGCUGGCCCUCUUCCUCCUCCUUCUACUCCUCUACCAGACAUUGCUUACCUUCUUCUUCCUCCUCGAACGGACAUCACUGGCACUCCUCCUCCUCCUCCACCUCCUCCUCCUCCACAUCUAUCAGACAUUGCUGGCCCUCCUCUUCCUCCUCCACCAUACAUUGCUGGCCAUCCUCCUCCUCCUCCUCCUCCUCCUCCUCUACCAGACAUCGCUGGCCCUCCUCCUCCUCCUCUUUGUCCUCCUCCCACUCCUCCCCUAAAAGACAUCGCUAGUCCACCAACUCCUCUUCCUCCUCCUCUACCAUACAUUGCUGGCCCUCCUCCUCCUCUACAAGAAAUCUCUGGCCCCCUUCCUCCACCUCCUCCUCCUCCAGACACCGCUGGCCCUCCUCCUUCUCUUCUGCCACACAUCACUGAUGCUCCUCCUCCUCCUCCUCCUCCUGUUUCAGACAUUGCUGGCCAUCUUCCUCCUCCUCCUCCUACUCAUCUACCGGACAUCCAUGCCUCUCCUCCUCCUCCUUCUCUUCCUUUUCCUCCUCCUUCUCUACCAGAUAUCACUGGCCCUCCUUCUACUCCUCCUACUCCUACUCUACCAGAUAUUGAGGGCCCUCAUCCUCCUCCUCCUGUACCAGACAUUGCUGGCCCUCCUGCUCCUAAGCCUCCUCCUCCUCAAGACAUUGCUGGCCUUCCUGCUCCUCCUCCUCCUCCUCAUCAUCAUCAUCCUCCUUGUCCUCUACCAGACACCGCUGGCCUUCCUCCUCCUCCUCCUCAUUCUCCUCCUUCUCUACCAGACAUCACAAGAGCUUCUCCUCAUCCUCCUUCUCCUCUAGCAGACAUUGCUGGCCUUCCUCCUCCACCUGAACCAGACAUCACUGGCCUUCCUCCUCCUCCUCCUCAUCCUUCUCUUCCAGACAUCACUGGCCCUCCUCCUCCUCCCCGUCCUCCUCCUCCUCUACCAGACAUUGAGAGCCCUCAUCCUCUUCCUCCUCUACCAGAUAUUGCUGGCCUUCCUGCUCCUCCUCCUCCUCUUCAUCAUCAUCAUCCUGCUCCUCCUUCUCUACCAGACAUCGCUGGCCUUCCUCUUCCUCCUCCUUCUCAUCCUCCUCCUCUACCAGACAUCACUGGCCCUGCUCCUCAUCCUCCUCCUUCUCUACCAGACAUUGCUGGCUUUCCUCCUCCUCCUUCUCUAUGACACAUUGCUGGCCUUCCUCUUCCUCCUCUUCUACCAGACAUCACUGGCCUUCCUACCCCUCCUCCUCCUCUUCCUCCUCCUCCUCUACCAGACAUUGCUGGCCCUCCUCCUCCUCUUUCUCCUCUUCCCCCUCCUCCCGUACCAGACUUCGCUGUCCCUCCACCUCCUCCUCCUCCUCUACCAGACAUUGCUGGCCUUCCUUCUCCUCCUCCUCUACCAUACAUCUCUCAACCUCCUCCUCCCCCUCCACCAGACAUCGCUGGCCCUCCUUCCUUGUCUGGUAGAGGAGGAGGAGGAAGAUGGCCAGCAAUGUCUGGUACAGGAAGAGGAGGAGGAGGAGGAGGGGUUAGCGAUGUCUGGUAGAAGAGGAGAGGGAGGGCCAGCGAUGUCAGGUGGAGGAGCAGGAGAGAGGAGGAGGAGAGCCAGAGAUGUCUGGAAGAGGAAGAGGAGGGACACCUCCUGCUCCUCCUCUAAAAGACAUCGCUGGCCCUCCCCCUCCUCUUCCUCCUGUAUGAGACAUUGUUGGCCCUCUUCCUCUUCCUCCUACUCCUCUACCGGACAUCUCUGGCCCUCCUCCUCCUCCUCCUCUUCCUCCUCCUCUUCCUCCUGCACAAGACAUCACUGGCCCUCCUCCUCCUCUUCUCCCAGACAUCACUGACCCUCCUCCUCCUCCUCUUCCCCCCUCCUGUACCAGACAUUGUUGGACUUCUUCCUCCUCCACCUCGUCCUCUUCCAGACAUCUAUGACUCUCCUCCUCCUCCUCCUUCUCCUUCUCUUCCUGCCCCUUCUGUAGCAGUCAUCACUGGCCCUCCUCUUUCUCCUACUCCUCUUCCUCCUCCUCCUCUUCCUCCUCCUCCUCCUCUACCAGACAAUGAUGGCCUCGUCAUCCUCCUCCUCUACCAUACAUUGCUGGCCCUCCUCCUCCUCUUCUAGACAUCACUGCCUCUCCUCCUCCUCCUGCUCCUCCUUCUUCUCUACAAGACAUCACUGGCCCUCCUGCUCCUCCUCCUCUACCAGACAUUUAGGGCAUUCGUCCUCCUCUUCCUCUACCAGACAUUGCUGGCCCUCCUCCUCCUCUACGAGACAUGGCUGGCCUUCCUCCUACUCCUCUUCUAACAGAUGUUGCUGGCCUUCCUCCUCCUCUUCCUCCUCUUCCAGACAUCACUGCCUCUCCUCCUCCUCCUGCUCCUCCUUCUGCUCUACAAGACAUCACUGGCCUUCCUGCUCCUCCUCCUCUACCAGACAUUUAGGGCACUCGUCCUCCUCUUCCUCUACCAGACAUUGUUCGCCCGCGGACUCCUCCUCCUCCUCCUCCUCUACCAGACAUUGUUCACCUUCCUGCUCCUCCUCCUUCUCCUCCUCCUCUUUCUCCUCCUCCUCCUCCUCCUCUACCAGACAUUGAUGGCCAUCCACCUCCUCAUCCU
RNAcentral lists this long non-coding RNA (3056 nucleotides) under Heterocephalus glaber (naked mole-rat). RNAcentral describes it as "lncRNA (ENSHGLG00000035977.1)". The record is from RNAcentral. Lineage: Eukaryota; Metazoa; Chordata; Mammalia; Rodentia; Bathyergidae.